UACAGGUGUGCUUGGUGAACAUAGGGCUGGGCACGCCUUUCAUCUCCUGGCUUGAUCUGAGGCCUCUCGGGGCGGCCAUGUACCCGGAGGCCACCCUGAAGCAGUCGCUGCUCCUGCUCAACCUUCGCAGGCCGGGAGCCAAAUACGCCUUGAACCGCUACCAUUUCUGGAGGCCGGCCACUUCCUAUGGAGUAUUCAGGUCACCAUCACUCUUUAAUAACGCCCUCUUUGAACGUCAAAACUCUCAGAAAAGCCAUCAGUACGUACGUCGAUCAUACACACAUCUUCUAAUUCUCUCACACCAACAGGUACCCGUCUGAUCCCUACGACCGCGUCUGGCAGAGCUACGGCGACGUCGCAGCAUGGACAAACAUAACAACGACGGCCGCCGUCAACGUCUCCAACGCCAGCAGCUUCGACGAGCCGUCGGUGGUGUUGCAGAGCGCCGCCACUCCGGUGAACGCCACGCGGCUCGACUUCUCAUGGACCUUGGACUCCUCCCUGUCGCCGAACAACGGCAACAGCAGCAGCACGGCUUACGUCCUGCUCAUGUACUUCGCUGAGCUGCAGCAGCUGCCAAGCGCCGCGCUGAGGCAGUUCAGCAUCCUCAUCAACGGUGCCUCGUGGAACAGCAGCCGGCGGAGCUACGCCCCGAAAUACCUUUCUGCAGAGAUUGUGAAGAUGGUGCUUGUGCAGGGGUCAGGCGAUCGCGCUGUCGUUUCUCUUGUCGCCACGCCUGAAGCGACGCUCCCGCCCAUCUUGAACGCGCUCGAGAUAUACUCGGUGCGGCAGAUGACUCAACUUAAGACGGACAAUGUAGACGGUAUCUAACACUGUAAUCUCUCUGUUACAUUGUCAACAAUCUUAACUAGCUCGGGUUAACAUUUACAAGUCCAGUUUUGAACUAUUAGGUUGGAUUGCAUGCAGAGCAGAACUUCAGGAAUCCAUCUUUUUUUCUUUCUGUAUGACAGCUGAGGCCAUGAUGACGAUCCGUACGACGUAUGCGCUGAAGAAGAACUGGAUUGGUGAUCCUUGUGCACCUAAAGAUUUUGCCUGGCAUGGCCUGAACUGUAGUUAUCCAUCAUCUGGCUCUGCACAGAUAAAAGCUUUGUAAGUUCUAGAAUUGCAAGCAUUGUAGUUAAUGCAUGCUUGCGCUGAAAGAUCGAAAAGCAAGCUUUAUCAUGCCUUGGUAUUAAUCUACUAUGGGAUUUGCUACAGAAAUUUGGCAUCUAAUGUGUUGACCGGUGCAAUUGAUCCUUCUUUUGGUCAUCUAAAAUCUCUACAACACUUGUAAGUGCCAAAUACCAUCAUCACACCAUUAAGAACCCCAUCAGUUUCUCGAAAUCAUACAUAACCUUGCUUUAAUAUUUAGCACCUAAUUUCGCUAACAGGAAUUUGAAGCAGCAUACAAUUUAAAUUUUACUCAUACAUAUCUGUUUUCUCAUAGCUAUUAGAAUAUUUCCAUAAGAAUUUUAAUUCCAGGGACUUGUCCACUAAUACCCUGUCGGGCCCAAUACCAGAUUUUCUAGCGCAAAUGCCAUCACUCACAUUCCUGUAAGUAUACUUAUUCACUUCACUUGGAAAUCUAUUGCAUCGGUAUAUUGAAAAUGUACUGGUUUUCACAGCGAUUUAUCAAACAACAAACUCAGUGGAUCAGUUCCUGCAGCUCUACUACAAAAGCAUCAAAAUGGAUCUCUUAUACUAAGGUUUGCAUGGCUUAACAGUUUAUAUUAUGAGGGUGUUUUUUGAACUUCCAGAUAAGUUCAGGGGGGGGGGGGGGUAAAGUGGACUUAAUUCUAUAUUUUACACCAAAAUGUAUGAGCCCACAGUUCCCUAAAUCCAGGUUCCUUUUAUAAGGACUGCAAAAUCUUUCCUCAAGGACCGUGUAGUCAAGGAAUUAAAUAAGAACAAUUACAACUAACUGACUUCAAAAAAGUACAGCUACUGCAUUUUAUUGCUCUAAAUGUAUUUAAUUCAGAUAUUUUGUUGCUCUAAUUAUAGAAUCGGUAACAACACAAAUAUCUGUGACAAUGGUGCUUCGACAUGUGAUCCAGACAAAAAGGAAAAGAACAGAACACUCGUCACUGCAAUAUCCGUAACAAUUCCUGUAGCAACUCUACUGUUUGUGGCAACAAUUCUUAUCCUUCGCAGAAGGAGAAAUAAACAAGGUAACAUUUCAUCAAGGAAAGCACUGAAUCUUAAGUAACUGAAGAUCAUUCAUAAAAGACAGGUUUGAUUCCAGACACAUGGAUGGCAAACAACGGUAGGCUUAGCGGCCCUCGGGAGAGGUACAACUUAUUUGAGAACGGACAAUUCAGCUACAAGGAACUGAAGCUCAUCACAGCUAACUUCAGAGAAGAAAUAGGGCGAGGAGGAUUUGGUGCCGUGUUUCUAGGUCAUUUGGAGAACGAACGUACAGUUGCCGUGAAGAUCUGUUCAAAAACAUCAUCUGAAGGGGAUAAAGAGUUUCUAGCUGAGGUAGGCUGUUCACCUGAAAUGCACCGUUUGUUUGCUUAAAACAAAUGUUCUUAUUCCAAAUUGCAGUGCAGGCUCAACACUUGGGUCGAGUUCAUCAUAGGAAUCUGGUUUCCUUGAUUGGUUAUUGCAAGGACAAGAAACAUCUGGGCCUUGUAUAUGAAUAUAUGCAUGGAGGAGACUUGGAGGACUGCUUAAGAGGUAAUGUCGUCUCUCCCAAUUAAAAAAAACUCAGCUGUGGGCUUUAGGCACAUCAUUAGUUCAACAAAGUUUUUGACUCUUUACUAAAAAUUGUGUGCAUUGUUUCAACUACUCUAAGCACAAUUGUCUAAGGGGAAAAAAUACAUCAUUCUACGUAAAGACACACUUCCCAGAGGAUGCAAUAAUUUUGAACAAACCAAAAUUUGGUGUGUAAUACUAUCAAUUGUUAUCUGAUCUAUUUUCUUUUCGCAACUGUGAGUGCUGCAAUCAUGUGUCCGCUCCAGUAUUAAGAAAUUGCUGGAGAAGGCAACCAAUUUCUUCGAAAAGAACGCUUUUAACAUGACAUAAACUGUGGCCAAACUACACCAAUAUAUCACAUGCUUUUCUUUGUCAGACUCUUACUGUUAUGCAUGGACCUUUUUAUGCCCAUAUUUUCUCGCAGGAGAGGCUUCUGUUGCUACACCCCUCAGUUGGCAUCGACGUCUCAAGAUUGCUAUCGACUCUGCCCAUGGUUUGUUGAAAAAUCACCUCUGAAACUUUGAUUGUAGUAGUAAGAGAAUGCAUCACCAUUUACAGGACUAGUUCUGAGUUUACUUGUACCACUUAAACCACAUACCUCUGACAAAUAUGGCUAACUUUACGUAAUUCUUAACCUAUCAUUAUCUACUCACUAGCUACUGGUCAUGGAUACAGGAUUGGAGUAUCUACAUAAGUCCUGCCAACCUCCACUGAUCCAUAGGGAUGUCAAGACGAAGAACAUCCUGCUAUCUGCUGACCUAGAGGCGAAGUUAUCCGACUUCGGCCUGACGACGGUGUUUGCCGACGAGUUCAUGACCCACAUCACCACCAAACCAGCAGGGACCCUGGGAUAUCUUGACCCUGAAUACUAUAAUACAGCCCGGCUGAGUGAGAAGAGUGACGUGUACAGCUUCGGAGUAGUACUACUUGAGCUCAUUACAGGUCAACCCCCAGCGCUCGCUAUCAGUGACACCGAGAGCAUCCAUAUAGCAGAGUGGGUGCGCCAGAAGCUCUCGGAGUCGGAGGGGAACAUCGAGAGCAUUGCUGACAUGAAGAUGGGGACAGAGUACGACAUCGACUCAGUCUGCAAGGUUACAGAGCUGGCACUGCAGUGCAAGGAGCGACCAUCACGAGAACGACCCACAAUGACAGAGGUUGUGGUUGAGCUUAAGGAGUGCUUGGAGCUGGAGGUGUCUCGUGGAAUGGGCAACUACAGCUCAGUCGCUAGCAGCGCAAACAGUCUCAGUGAAAUGAGCGCUGAGUUGCGUAGUGAUGCCCAAGGAAGUCAUCUAUGAAGGCUGUAAGCACUGGCUUCGUGUGAGAAAAUGGGGGUGCGUUUUCCAAAUGGAGCGAGACAUAUUAGCAUAUUGCAACUUAUCAACAACUCAUGCAAUAAUCGUUUAAACUGAGGGAAAAAGUUGAGCACAGACGUUAAAACAAAGGAAAUCAAGAAUCCACAACCUCUGCUCUAUCUUGAUGUGGUUUCCAGAUGUCUAAAAAAGUUCUAUGUGAGUAGUUUCUCUUUAUUACACUUACUGUUACCGAGAGGCAGUGACGAAAAUAAAUACUACGGUGUGAUACUUCAAGUUGAACAAAUCCAUGUUAUAACAAGGAUCCUUCUAAAUGAAUCUGGCAUAGCAUUGCGAACAGUGGUAAACAGAGAGGAUUCCUUAUCUGAAGUUACUCGCAUUUUUUUAUUAAUCAGAAGCUUGUUAUAUGUCUCUUUCUGUAGAGCAGUUUAGAGUCUGAAAUUCAUUUUCAUUUCCUUAUCAUUAUCGAUGCGGUUUCUCAGUUCAUCCUUAACGACAUACUCCCUUCACUACAUGGACAGCUAGAACGCACUCAAAUCUCUACAACAGAAAUAGUAUUUCUGACACAAACUUUGCUCAGUAGUACAAUGCAAAAUUGAACCUAAACAAAUAUCGGUUAGUCAGCUUAAUCGUCAAGAUCUGACCUGCUUCAAGGCCGAAGCACCGGCAUUUUUUGCGAGGGGGAGGAACCCUGAUGGUUAGCGCACGUCUUUAAUUUGUAGCAGAGCAGGACUCACCGGCCAUGGCGAUGGUGACGGCAGUUGAUGGAUCCGGUUGAACCACGCGCCCGUGGUCUUGUUGGGGUAGGCGACGGGAGGGGGAGGCGGACGCCCCGGGCGGCAACGGGGAGAAGCACCGGCGAGCGGCUGAGCGGCUGAGCGUGGGCAGGAGGAACAAGCGUUCAGAGAUGGGCCGAGAAAACUGCCCGGUCGAGAGAGCAUGUUGCUACAUUCUCGGCCGGCCCGCCGUAUCUUUGCUCGGCCCAAAAUCUUCCGUCUUAUCUGCACCUUCGGGCCCACUAGUUUUCCACGCGUUUAGCAGCUGGGCCCUGGUCUCGGGCUCUCGAGGUCAAACAAGCCGCCAUAGCAGUGGAAAAAAAAAGCAGUGGACCAGGGUCCGAGGACCAACAAAUGCAAUCCAGCUCGGUCGGUUGCUUCCGCUCGUCCAUAUGGCCUGGUUGUCUUCGCAGCUCAUCUGAGUUCACACCCCGAUCUAAGCUUGUGGGCGCAGCAUUCGGCAUUGGAUUAGGAGUCCCACCGGCUAACGAUACAUCGUGUUAAUGUUUUUUUAACUAGAGCAUGGAUGAUAAGGGGUCCUUUGGAACAAAGGAUUCCUGCUCCUCCGUCCAACAAAGGAUGUUUUAACAUUGUCCAAAUUUGAAUGCAUCUAUACACUAAGGUAGUGUUUGGUUCCAGAGUGACGUGGAAUGGAAUGGAACGGAACGGUUUGGUUGAAGGGAUGGAAUGGCUGUGGAUUUUGUUUGGUUGAGAAGAUGGAACGGAGUGGAAUCGUCGGUCGUUCUCGCUUCACGUUUUUCUUCACUGUCCGCUUCUUCCUCCUCUGGAGUAUGGAGCAUGUGUCGCUGCUCAAGAAAUCAAGAAAAUCGACUCCGUUCAAGACUUCAUGCUCCACUAACGAGAUCACAACUCCUCAAUUUUCCAAUUUCGUGUUUCAUUUCGACUGUAAUUCGGCUAUUGUCCGAGAGCCUUCUGCAUCUCAGCCGGACCGUGAGGUGAACGGGCACUUUUGGAGGACAGCACGAGGAGGUCCCCCACGGUGAUAUUUAUCCCUCCACUGCUCCUCCUUCGCGCCGGGCCGCCGCCGUCCUGCCAGCGUCCUCCCGCGCUGCUGCCAUCGCCCCGUGCCGCCGCUGCUCCGCCUCCAAAGCCGUCGUGCCCCCUUUGCCCCAUGUCGCCGUCCCGCCGUCGUCCCGCACCGCCUCCGUUGACCUGUGCCGCCGCGCCCUGCCGUCGCGCUGCCUUCCCUCUACAACCGUCGCGCUGCCUUCCCUCGUGUCGCCGACGUGCCAGACGUGCGAGCGCGAGAGAGCGCGUGCGGGAGGACAAGGACGGGCCCCACCAAUUCCACACGGAACCAGAUGAUUCCUCCAAAUAUGAGGAAUCGGUUCGUUCCGCAUCUCUUUGGAAUAUUCCAAUUUUUGGAACUAUAUGGUUCCAUUCUGAUUUGUCAUAUUCUACAAACCAAACGUUGGAACCAUCUUGAAAACUGGAACCAUUCUACUUCGUUCCACUUCAUUCUCUCAUCCAAACACAGCCUAAGUAUGUCUAGAUACAUCCAAAUUUUAACAAACUUGAAACAUUUUUUGUUGGACGGAGGGAGUAUAAGAUUUCUAAGGGAAAAGAAUUCCUUUAUCAAACGAUGGCAUGGAUGGUUGUGCUCACGGUUACAUACUAACCAAUAAGAUCAUAUCCAUGUCACUGAUUAUAUUUGUGUACUCCCUGCUUAUCAUAUUAAGUGAUUCAAAUUUGCCAAAAUAUAAACAUAUCUAUAUACUAAAAUACGUUGACAUGCAUGUAAUAUUUCGGCACUUAAUAUGUGACGGAGGGAGUAUUAGUCUUGUUUACUUUAUAGGAUGUUGCCAAUUACUGCUAUUUUGGUUCCUGCAUUUCAAAUGGUUUUUCUAUCCCAAUCCUAUGUUUUCAAUUCCCAUAAGAUUUCAGAUGCAUGUCAUGCUAAUUCCUGUAUUUUUUCUAUUCCUGUGUUUUUACUAUACUGCGUUCCAAACGGAGCCUAAUUCGAUCUAUCCCUUGUUCAAGAACAGUAACAAGAUAAUUUAAAAGUACGCUGCAGCUAAUUGUGUUCCUCGGGAACGCGAGGAUCUCGUGGGAAUUCCUUUUCUUGCGCCGGUGGUGGUAUCUCACCAGAAGUUUAGCCAGAAGAUGAAGCAAUGCACACCGAUAUGAUGGUCAAGAUUGACCGAAUUCCUUUAUCAAACCUACAUACCCACGACGUGUCGGGCAACCGCGCGCGUAGCACGUACGAUGCACGGCUCUUUUUGGCGCUCUGCUCACGGGGAUCACGCCGAUUAUUUCUCGCGAUCACACACACCACAACCACAAUCAUAUCAUACGGGCAUGCACAGGAGAAGCAGCGCCAGCUAGCGUUCUUGGCGAUUAGACUUUAGCGGGUUUAAUUAGCUAGCUUAGCCCCUGUCACGUCCGAUCGCCAGUCUCAUGACCCAUGCACAUGAUGUGAUCUUGCUGCCUGUAUUGCAAGCCGUCCAGAUUAAGGUGCAACUAAGCAACGUAACGUCCUUCUCGCGCAUUCACGUUUUCACGGCAAACGACCAUGACCCUGGCCCGGCACGUAGUGGCGUGUAGUCGCACGGAUGACGGAUGUUCCUUAGAACGGGCAAAGAGAAAGUUUUGUGGGCUCACUCAUGCUUGGCGGUGGACCUAACGUGCACCUUCAAAGAGGGCUCGAAAUUAAGUUCCCGUUUUACUGUCCUAAAUCCCAUCAAUUUGAGAUAAACCAAUUCGGUUUCUCAUGGAAACCGGGGAAGAGAAUUAACAACAAACCGUGGUCCAGAUGCAAAAUGGCUACUGCAAGCGAAGGAAUUUGUUGAUCAAUGGGAUCGAUCGGACUAGUGGUACGUACGUGUGGCGGUGCUCCUGUGGGGAAAUUUAGAUAGAGCAUCACAAGCUCGGAGUGAGCAGUCCACAUUGAUGGCGCCAUUAAUUCACUCACAUGUCCACACCUACCCCUCGGCGCCACACCUGGCCAUGCCGCAUUUCAGCUCAUCGCCCCCUUUCCCCCUUUCCGCUUUCGCUCAUCUGAGCCUGCCUUGUGGGCCGCCACGCAAGCCCUUCGCCUCUCCCGUGAAUCCGGGAGCGAGUGAACCAGGCCACCUAUAUAGCCGGCAGAGGAGGCUACGCGUCGCCCAGGACUGGACACCGGCCGUCGGAUGAGCUGAGCCUGGGGGGUCGACGACGACGAUGGCGUCGCCGCUGGGCAACGGAGAGCUGGCUGCUUCGGAGAGGAGGAAGGCGGCGGCGGCCGCGGGGAGGAGGCUGGCGGCGCUGCUGCUGCUCCUGCGGGUGGCGGCGCUGUGCUUCGCGCUGGCGGCGGCGGCGUUCGCGGCGACGGACGGCGCCGCGCUGCGGGGCAGCGCGGCGUUCCGGUUCCUGCUGGCGGCGAACGCCAUCGUGGCCGCGUACUCGGCGUUCGAGGUGGCCGCGGCGGCCUUCGAGCUCGCCCGCGCCGCCACGCUGCUCCCGGAGGCCUUGCAGCUCUGGUUCGACUUCGGCCACGACCAGGUACAUAAUUCCAUCGAAUGGAAUCAACCGAUUUGACUCCCUCUCGCUGCUCAGCUCAACGGCGCCCCCAAAUUUGCCCCCGUCCCCUUGUUUGAUGAUCACAAUUCGCACGAACGAUCAAGUUUAAUUUUGGGGCUGGUCGAUGAUGAGAGAGCAUGCAAUUGCAGGGAUUCGGGUACAUGGCGUUGGCGGCGGCGGCGGCGGCGGCGGCGGGGCGUGGAGCGGCGGCGGCGGCGUGCAGCGGGACGAUGGCGUGCCUGCAGGCGGACAUCGCGGUGGGGCUCGGGUUCGCGGCGUUCGCCUUCCUGGCGCUGGCGGCGCUCUUGUCGGGGUUCCGGCUCGCACGCUUCCUUCUCACCGGCUCCCGCCUCCCGGCCCCGGCUUCCCCUUCCUCCUCCGCGUAUUGAGCAGCCCAUUUUGGUAGCCGCCGGAUCGAGCAUAUAUAUACAUAGGCAUAGCAGUAGCGAGGCACGCGUGGUUCGGCAUGCACUGCUCUGAUAUCUUGGUUAUUCAGGGCUUCUGGUCUGGAGCGAUCAUCAGAUUCAGACAUAAUUUGCACUGUGCUUGCUGCCUGUCUGUAAUUGAGAGAGAAAGAGAGGAAGAAUCGCAGAGAUGGAUGUGUGUGUGAUGUGUUUGUAAGUAAGAGCGCCCGGGUUCAGGCGAUAUGAUAUAUAUGCAACGUGAUAUCAUUGAUAAGAGUGGCCAGAUUGUUAACUGUACCAACGAUUGAUAUGGAUGAUACUUACAGUUGCACUCCGUUAAUUUAUUUUAUUCGUUCGCUAUCUGAUGGAUCGAUACAAUCAAGGUUAACAGAGGCGACGAGAUCAUGGAUAAAACUAGAUAUCCAUUGUGGUCUUUCGAAAUCAAUGUCUCCUUGAACAAUUGUGUUCUUUCGAAGUAAACGUCUCUAAAUCUAUCCUUGGCACCUUGACACCCCUUAAACUGUCACCAUUCAACCAGAAAUUUGGAGAAAUAUCAAGAUGCAAACAGACACUAGAGAAGUUGGUUUCAAGAUUUUUAUGUAACUUUCGGUUUAUCCAAAAUCUUUGUUGUCGUUUUAGUUUUUCCGAUCAAAUGUAAUUUAUUAGUUGAAUAAAUAAAGCCAGAUCGCUGUUUAAAAAAAAAACGAGCACCGAGCACGAGCGCCGUGCCAUGGCUUGGCGUAUAAAAUCCAGCCAUUCUUCUCAAUUCUCAUCUCAUUCCCACCACCCAGCUGACAAGCUCAACUAGCUUAAGGUAGUAGCCAUGGCCACGAACCUCGCCAUCGCCGCGUUCCUCCUGGCCACUACUCUCUUCUCCUCCUCGUCGUCGGCGGCGAGGGAGACCAUCCUGACCAUCCACAACCUGUGCCCUUACCCGGUGUGGCCGCUCUUCACCCCCGACAGCGGCUUCCCAGCCCUCUGCGACCGCGUCGUGCGCCUCGUCCCCAACGGGGUCAUCUCCGUCCGCUUCCCGGACACCCCCUGGUCCGGCCGCGUCACGACGCGCACCGGCUGCGACGGCACCGGCCGCCCGCGGCUGCACUGCGCCACCGGCUCCGCGCCGCCCUCCACCGUGGCGCAGCUCAUGGUCCAUUACGGCGGGGUGGAGGACCGGGCCGUGUACAGCGUUUCCCUCGUGGACGGCUUCAACGUGCCCAUGGUGAUCACCCCGCAGGGCGGCGGCGGCACCGGCCACUGGCUGUGCACGCCGAUGGGGUGCGCCGUCGACCUCAACCGGGACUGCCCGCCGGACCAGCGCGCCAGCGGGGGAGCGGCCUGCCGUGGGCCCCGGGGGUAUUUUAAGGCGCUGUGCCCGGAGGCGAGGACGACGCCAGGCGACAGGGACCCCGUGCCCCAGAGCUGCCGCGCGCCCGAGGAGCUCAAGAUCGUCCUCUGCCAGCCGACGCCGACGCAGCCGUAAAAUGCUAGUCCACGGCGCCGCCACCGGCCGUCGUGGAAGCCGACAGCUAGAACUCGUUCUCCUUUUCUGUUCCCUUCUGCUCGCUUAAUUUGCUGCACUGCACCGUCGCUGUUUUAUUUGGGCCUAGACUCUAGAGCUCUGGCUUCGGAGUCCCGGUGUACACAUCCUAAGCAUAUGAGUUGAGCCAAAUAAAACUCAAUUAAUUCAACUGCGACCUACGUGGCUGUGCCACCCACGUCAUCUACCCCCACCGUAGGAACCACAUAUUUCGGAGAGAGUAUUAGAGAAAGAUGAUUAACAAAAAGGUAAUAUUUGUGGCAGGCUUAUUAAUGCUUUUGUAUCAGACUUUUCUUUUCCUUUUAGACUUGAUCAGUACCAUUUUUUUUGUAUUUUCUUUGCUUCUCUUUGUCCUCUCUUCUUUUGUUGCUCAAAUUUUGAAAGUCGAAAUAAUUUACUCAUGAGACAUAUUUUAGUGAAUCACGGUACAUGUACAACAAAUGACGGUACAUUGAUCGUUUCGUAAUGUACCCAUCGGUACUAACGAGAGUACAUGGCAGUACUCAAAUCACAGAAUGAACAUCUACCAAAAGAAGAUGAAUACCUCUUCAAUACUUAGUUGUACGUGAUGGUACUCAAAUCAAAGUACAUCAACUCAUAAUUGUACGUCAUGUACCGAGAAAUAAAAACACAAACAUUCAUCAAAUCAUAGUAUCUCGUCAUGUACGAUUCCAUCAAAAUUUAGUACCUCAUGUGUAAAUAGUGUGUACAUCAACUCAUAAUUGUACAUCAUGGACCAGAAAAAUAUCACAGCUCAAACAUUCAUCAAAAAUUAGUAUCUCGUCAUGUAUCCAUGGUACAUGAUGGUACUCAAAAAUUACAUCACAAAUAUGAUAAAUACCUUAUCAAUUUGUGAUGCGAGUACAUCGAUCCACAACAGAAAUACAUAGAAAAAAGGAAAUACGCAGCAAACUACGAACUUUUCAGCUAGCUAGUAGACAAAAGCAAGUACCAAAUACUCAUGUACCAAAUAGACGUGAACAAGAAAAAUGCAAGUACCAGGUAUGUACAUCAUGUACUCAUCCCAAAUAGUAGCACAUACAUCAAAUUCACACCAGAAAAUCCAAAAGGGACGAGGAGGACGCGGGGCCUGGCGAGGGAGAGCACGAAAUGGAGGCCGAGCACCGGGAGCAGCAGCUCGCAGCAUGGGGAGCAGAAGCUCGCGGACCAGCACCUCACGGCACAUAGAGCAGCAUUACGUGGAGCAGCAGCUCGGCGGGAGCCCGUCCCGUGCCGGACGGGGACGGGAUGGAGGAGGAGGAGGAGGGGCCGUGAGCGCCGCAGCAACGGAGCCGGUCUCCCCUGCCAUGACACUUGGGCUCUUGCUGGACAAAGAAAGAAGAAAGGGAGGAAAGAGAAUAGAGAACAUAGAGAGACGAGAGAGAAACGGGAGAGGAAAAACGUGGGUGUCAGGGAUUAGCCAAAAGUGCAGAGAGAUUAAGAAGUGGAAGUGGACACAUAUGUGGACAACACGGUGGGUGUAGAUAAGUGGGGUGGUACCGGGAGGUUUGACGCGCUUUGCAACAUCGAUCUCUCGAAACGAAAUCUUGGAAUACUGAAUAUAAUUGAUUGCAGCGAGAUCUGACAGUCUUCUCUUCAGUUAUCUAAAAACAGUUCUUACUAAACUAGUAUGCAUAUAUAAUUUUCUACGUUGCAUGGAAAUUAAAAUGCGUAGCUAAUGCCAAAGCUGCUUGGAUUAUAUGCGCUAUCGGUCGUAUACGAUCUGAACUGUUUGUUUCAUAAGCCUAAAUGAGAUCCGAUAUGAUAGGCCAAAGACCAAAGUCGUCAGGAUCGUUUUUUUUAGAGGAACAGUCCAAAGGAUCUAAAGCAGUACGUCCGGUGAAAUUUGGGCCUUAGUUAAUUUGAAUGGGCUCGCGUAUUGGACAAAAUGUUCAAUUUUUUUUUGGAGAAAUCAGUCGAAUUCAAAGAUCCAGACCCUGCAAGCUUUCUGUCAUCAAAUCCUCAUUGUUCCCUAAAAAAAAAUCCUCAUUGAAAUUUUGACACUCUUCAUUUUUUUCAAUUGCUGGUCGGUCCUGCUUUCGAUGAACAGCAAAAAAUUAAAAGCAACAGUACAACUGCAAUCUGAAACUGGAAGGCCUAUUGUAGGAGAAUUUGUUAACUUUCCAUUAACUUGUUAACUGGAAUAAGAAACACCUGCAACAAGCUAGAAACACUUCCAGGAUGCUCAUCACUGGUAUGAUGGCUGGCAGUUUCCUUUUCUCAUCAAAGUAGCAAGAUUGAAGAACACGGCAUGUGUACGUGAAAGAAGUUUGGCACUUCAGCAACUUUGCUUCCCGGAAUACGCGGCAGGCGGGAGGGAAGGAUCGAUAAGAAUCUGGUGGGACAAGCUGACUGAAGUUGCGAAGAAAGACAUCACAUUGGCGUCAUAUGUGAUCUGGAACAUUUGGAAAGAGAGGAAAAGAAGGAUUUUGAAGGAAAAAAAUGUAUCGAUGCGAAACCUGUGUUUUUUUUCGUUCUGGUUGUCUUAUAAGUUGUAUGGUUUCCCUCUUCUUAAUGCAACGACAGAGCUCCUAUCUUUUCCUAAAAAAAAAACGGCACGACCAAAGUUAGCAAUAUAGUUGUAGAGAUGAUUUCUGACGGAAAUUAUCUGUUUUAGGCAGCAGCGCCCAUUGGAGAAGAUCCAGUUUGACAUGCAACUCAUGUAUCUCACUCAUACGGCCCAAUAUUAAAUCUCGCACGGCCCACUCCAUUGAGCUCCCACGGUCCAAAUGCAAAUCUAUAAGGCUUCAAAGCACCGGGCCCAGGAUUUACGGAGCUUCUCGAAGACGACUCUGCUCAUGCCAUGCCAUGGCAUCGCCUAUAAAACCAGCCAGUGGUCUUCUCUCUCAUCACAUCUCACUCGCACCACCCAAAGCUCAAUUAGCUCAAGGCAGCCAAAGCCCAAAGGCAGCCAUGGCCAUGAACCUCGCAACCGUCGCGUUCCUCCUGGCCAGCACUCUCUUCUCCGCCUCGUCGUCGGAGGCGACCACGCUGACCAUCCACAACCUGUGCCCUUACCCGGUGUGGCCGCUCAUCGUCCCCAACUCCGGCUCCGGCGCCACCAGCCCCUUCUUCGACAACUCCGCGCGCCUCGACCCCAACGCGCUCGUAUCCCUCUGCUUCCCGGACACCGUCUGGUCUGGCCGCGUCACCGCGCGCACCGGCUGCGACGGCUCCGGCGCGACCUGCGGCACGGGAGCCGCGCCACCCUCCACCGUGGCGCAGCUCACGGUCCACGGCGACCAGGACCUGGCCGUGUACAGCGUCUCCCUCGUGGACGGCUUCAACGUGCCCAUGGUGAUCAGCCCGCAGGGCGGCGGCGUCGGCCAGUGCCCGCAGCUCGGGUGCGCCUUCGACCUCAACCGGAACUGCCCGCCGGAGCAGAGCGCCAAUGGGGGAGCCGCCUGCCGCGGGCCCCCAGGGUAUUUCAAGGUGCUGUGCCCGCAGACGAGGACGACGCCGGGCGACAAGGAGCCCCUGCCGCAGAACUGCCACGCGCCCGGGGAGCUCAAGAUCGUCCUCUGCCAGCCCUUCAUGCUAUCCCACGGCGCCGCCGUGGAAGCCGAUAGCUAGACCUCGCUUCUGUUCUCUUCUAUUCUCUUCUGCUCGCUUAACUCGCUGUUCUGCACCGAAGCUGUUUGGGUUCGUCGUCUCGGUGUACGUAUGAGUUGAGCCAAAUAAAACUCAAUAAUUGAACUGGGAGCUACUCGCUUUGGAACAUACAGUAUCUUGAAACGAAAUCUUGGAAUACUGAAUCUUAAUUCAUUGCGAGUAUAUGUAUAUCCCACAAUGCAGAGAGAUCUGGCAGAGUUCUCUCUUCAGUUAUCUACAACAUUUCUUACCAAACUAAUUGAAAUUUCAGCAACAUAAUUUGACCGAGCUUUGCACGACAGUAAUUAUGUUUGCUCACUACAUACUAUUUGAAACAACAAUAUUGAGUCCAUGAACCAGGUACAGAGAUGACCAUCAAGAAUGUUACUUUGUCAGGCUUUUACCAUGCAAAAUGAGAUCCGAUAGGCCAAAGUCGUCAGAAUCUGAAACAGCAGGCACGUCAGGUUGAAAACUGGGCCUUAGUUGCUUUGAAUCCUCUCGCGUAUUAAUUGGAUAAAUGUUCUAAACAAAAGAAUUGGAGAAAUCAGUCGAAUUCGAAGCACCUCAUUAGAAAUCAGUUGAAAACUGCACCUUGGUUAAUUAGGGACCUCCUCUUUGACAGAUCCCGCACGGCCGCACCUGCAAGCUUUCUGUCCUCAUUGACAUUACAUUCAGUUUUUUCAUUGCUGGCCGUUCCUGCUUUCGAUAAACAGCAAAAAUUGCAACAGUACAACUGCAAUCUGAAACUGGAAAGCUAUUGUCGGAGAAUUUGUUAACUUUCCAUUAAUUUGUUAACUGGAAUAAGAAGCCACUGCAACAAGAAACACUUGCAGAAGGCUCAUCACUGAUAUAAUGCCUGGCAGUUUCAUUUUUCUCAUCAAAAUAGCAAGAUUAAAGAACACGGCAUGAUCAAAGCUAGCAAGCUACCUUGCUAUAGACAUAAUAUAUUUUUAAAACCAAUCACAUCACGUCGUACACAAGAUGGGAAGGAUUUACCUAAAACGAAGGAUUAGACAUCCAUUUUUCUAGUUGAUUUUUUUUCCGACAAAAGAGGUUGAAACCCUCUCCUCUGCAUUAAAAAGAUGCAAUUUUAUUACUGUAUUAGAAGAUUAGGAUUUACCUUAGAUCUUAGACUUCGGUCAGGACAAAAAAGAACGAAGACGUUCCUCUAGCCUUUUUUUUUAGAAAAAAACAAUCCUCUAGCCUUUUUUUUGUUGAGAAAAAUUCAUUCAUCUAGCUUUUUUUUUUAGCAAAGUCAUUCCUCUAGCUUUUAAUUAGAAUCACCUGUAAUUUAUUCAGAUUUGACAUCCAUUACGGUAUAAUAAUUUGGAUAAAAACCCAAAAGACUAUAAAUUAACUCUUAUAACUAAAAAUUACAUUGAAAACUUUCAAAUAAAUCUUCUUAAUGGUAUCAAUCUUCGCAAUUCCUCUAGCUUUUUUUUUAGAACAAGCAAUUGCUCUAGCGUUUUUUUUUUUGAGAGGCGCAAUUCCUCUAGCUAGCUGAUUUGGGCAACAGCGUCCACUGCAGAAGAACCCUUUGACAUGCAGCCCAUGCAUGUCUCUCCUUCUUAUGGUCCUAUACCAGAUCUCCCGGAGGCCCACUGCAUUGCGCUCUCUCCCACGGGCCGACCACGAAGAUUCAACGCACCCUUUUUUCUUCCAUCGGGCCCAGGAAUUACGGAGCUUGUCGAAGACGACUCUGCCAUGGCUUCGCGGCCUUCGUCUAUAAAAGCCAACCAUUCUUGUCAUCUCAUCCUCACCACCCAGCUCAAUUAGCUCAAGCCAUCAGGCAUCAGCCAUGGCCAUGGCCCUCGCAAUCGCCGGCGCGUUCCUCCUGGCCAGCACUCUCUUCUUCUCCUCCGCGUCAUCACCACGCUGACCAUCCAGAAACCUGUGUCCUUACCCAGUCUGGCCGCUCAUCACCCCCAACACCGGCCUCCCCGCCAUCUCCGACAACGCCGCGCGCCUCGACGCCGACGCGCACCUCUCCGCCCCCUUCCCGUCCAACGCCUGGGCCGGCCGCGUCACCGCGCGCACCGGCUGCGACGGCGCCGCCGCCAACUGCGGCACGGGCGCCGCGCCGCCCGCCACCGUGGCGCAGAUCCAGGUCCACAACGGAAGGAACGCGGACGAGGCCGGGUACAGCGUCUCCCUCAUCGAGGGCUUCAACGUGCCCAUGGUGAUGGUGAUCAGCCAUCUGGGCGGCGGCUCCGGGCUGUGCCCGCCGCUGGGCUGCGCCGUCGACCUCAACCUCAACUGCCCGCCGGAGCAGCGCGCCGCCAAGGGAGCCGCGUGCCGUGGCCCCCCGGGGUAUUUCAAGGACCGGUGCCCGCUGACGAGGACGACGGCACCGGACAAGGAGCCCAGGGCCCAGAGCUGCCGCGCGCCAGGGGAGCUCAAGAUCGUCCUCUGCCAGAAGACGGUGGACCCGUCCAUGCUCCAAGGCGCCGCCGCCGACAGGGUCAUGGCGCCGUCGUGGGAGACGACAGCUAGACCUCUCUUCUGUUCCCUUCUGCUCGCAUGUUUGGGUUUAGACUUUUGAGCUCUGGCUUCGUCGUCUGUACUCCCCGGUGUACGCCCUAAGCAUGUGAGUUAGGCCUGAAUAAUUGAACUGUGAGUUACUACUCACUUUGGAACACUCUCUAGAAAUGAAGUGAGUAGUAAUUAUGUUUUCUCACAUGGUACUAUUUGAAAGAAAAAAAUCUAAUGGGUGCAAAACUGCAAAAGCCAGGUUCAAUACUGAGUCCGUGAACCAGGUACAGAGAUGGCCAUCAAGAAUAUGACUUCAUCAAGCUGUUGACAUGCAUAUAAACUUUGCUUCGUCGUUGCAUAGUGUCGGGGGAUGACCCCGGGUAAGUUCAUGACGACACGCUCUAGCCGAGAUGACGAAAGUAAAACCGGCAUCGUAAAGCUAAGUUAACACUAAGCCGGCAUACCGGGUGUAUGCCGGCAUGACUAUAUUGUCUUAUGAAUUUGCAGGAUAAGGACGAGCUCCUUGAUCUCGGCCCGGGCCGAGAUCCUUCAACGGUCUUAUCCUGACCACGCAGCGCAAAGAAAAGCAGCGUCAUCAUUAUCACGAGAAAAGCAGUCGCCACUUACGUAGCGGUGCCAGGCGACUGCACAAAAGAAGCACCGAAAGAGAAUUUCUGACGGGAGCCGGCAGAGGUCAACAGUACUUGUUGCAGGAUGCCAGGGAAAGUAAAAUUGUCUUGUCCCCUGCGGUGCCACCCGGAGGGAACCAAGCCUCGUGCCCGGCAGGGCCCAAGGAAGAUGACGUUUGUACUCGGCCCACAUGUCAGCAAGUGACGAAUGCCGAGAGCGUGAGAAUGGCAUUCGCCGGAAGAUGGUGUGGCUGGAGGCCGAAGAAGUCUAAGAAAUUCCUAAGGAAAUCGCUGGCCGGGAGGGCAAAGCCGCGUUCAAAGUGAGCGAGAAACACUACAUGCUCACCAGGCUCCGGGGUCGGCACAGUCUCGUCGCUGGAAUCCGGCACUCCACGUCCUCCGGAAUCCGCCGGGAAUGGCGGAGCCACGCAACGUCCGCCAGGGAGACGUCGGAGCCCUCCCAGCCGGCUCGCUCCGAGCCCGUCCUCUCUUCCAUCUGCUGAGCAGCCAGUUUCGGGAAGAAGAAGCCAUGGUUGGGAGCAGAUCUAGGGUUUGCUGUUUUCGGUGAGAGGAUGCUCGCGCGAGGCUUGGGCCAGCAAGAAAGUGCGGCGGAGACUCAAGCGAGCGCGAGAGAGCUUGCGGCUGCGAGUUUGGUGGCGGAGAGCUAAAGACCGCGGCGGCGGAGGAGCUUCGGGCUGGCAGCAAUGGCGGAGUGCGCGGGGAGCAAAGAGGCAGAGGAAUGCGAGGAGGACGAGGAGUGUGAAGGGUUUUUACCCUCCCCCUCCCCCUUUACUUAUACCCGCGGUGCAGUAAACAGGGCGCGUAUCCCCCGCGCCCACGAUCCCAGUGGCCAACGGGAAGAACGCGCACGAUGUUGGGGCCGUUAACCCCAUUAAAGCGCACGCGCUCGAUUAUCGCAUGGCGUGGCGCCGAGAAUCCCGCAGGAUUCGGGAGGAUAAGUGUCUCUGUGGGAACAGAAAUUCCCCUCUUAAUGGCUCUGUCGGCUUUACUGCCCGACGGGACGACGCGCUCGCCUCAAAAAGCGCAGCGGCAGUAACUCGAGUCUUAUCCUCCCGUUAUUUUAUAGAAGCGCAGACUACAAGCAACAGAUGGCAUCAAUGUCGGCAGAAGGAAGUUUUCUACUGUCGGCCAUGGAGGAGAAAGGAAUCUCGGUCAAGGGCUGAUUAGGCAGGCCGACUCGGUAUGUCGGGUUAACUUGAUCUCGGCUAAGAGAACUCGGAGUUGUCUCGGCAUCCUCUUCGGCUGAACCCUUGUAGGCUUUGGUGGUUUGUCUAUGGAAAACUGUCGUGGCCCGACAUUCUUCCCUGCCGGACCGCAACAGCUUCGGAGACUAGUGUCGGGGGGAUGACCCCGGGUAGGGUCCUGACGACAUGCUCUAGCCGAGAUGACGAAGGCAAAGCCGGCAUGGUCAAGUAUGCCGACAUCGUAAAGCUAAGUUAACACUAAGCCGGCAUGACUAUCUUGUCUUAUGAACUUGCAGCAUAAGGACGAGCCCCUUAAUCUCGGCCCGGGCCGAGAUCCUUCAACGGUCUUAUCCUGACCACGCGGCACAAAGAAAAGCAGCGUCAUCAUUAUCGUGGGAAAACUAGUGGCCACUUAUGUAGCGGUGUCAGGCGACUGCACAAAAGAAGCACCGAAAGAGAAUUUCUGACGGGAGCCGGCAGAGGUCAAUAGUACUUGUUGCAUGAUGCCAGGAAAAGUAAAGUUGUCUUGUCUCCUGCGGUGCCACCCGGAGGGAACCAAGCCUCGUGCCCGGCGGGGCCCAAGGAAGGUGACGUUUGUACUCGGCCCACAUGUCAGUGUGACAUGGGAGGCCUAUAAAUAGAGCACCACCCCUCUGUGGAAAGAGAGGGCACUUAGUCGUCUAGGGUUUCCCCUUCUUCUUCUUCUUUUUUCUCAAGAAUACAACUCAAGGAGCGCCAUCGUAAGAGCUGGUCUAUCUCGGCUAAUAAAAAAAGUAGGAGUAGGAGUCUUACCUUGGCAAGAGGGCUCCGAACCUGGGUAAAUCGCGGUCUGCUUGUGUGUUUGUGCGAGUUUCCCUUCACGACCUCCCUCCUCCGGUUCCUCCUUCGUCCAUCGGCCCCAAGUUAAGCCAUCCUAUGGCAUCUGCCGUGACACCACCACGGCAGUUGGCGCCCACCAUGGGGCCAGCAGCGGUGCUGGCUAGAGUCUUCAUCCAGACGGGAAGUUUUCUUGCCACCGAGAGCGCGUGGUCUCCGGUUUGGUCCAGAGAUUCGGCUCUCUGGGCUUCAUCGACAACAACGCGGGCUGCUUCAACGACGCACCGCUUCCCUGCGCGGGCCGCUUCAUGAGGUUUAUGUUGCUACUGACAGCCCUGCAGGUACCCAGAGCAGGUGGUGGUGGUUGAAGACCCCCCCGCCGUUUGCACGGUUCCCGGCCGGCAUGUUGACUGCCCCGCUGACCGUGUGGAAGUCAUGGUGACGGCUCAUGGUGCCGAUGCUGGAAGGGACGCUGCGGGAAGUGGAGCGGUCCCAACCAAAUCCGGCAGAACGGCGAAGCUCCCCUUGGAGAAGCCGGAAAAUAUUGUUGCUCAAGCCGGCACGUCGGCCCUACCACCGAAGCGAACUCAGCUCCAGGCCUCCAUCGAACGGCUAACUGCACCGGUGGCGUCGAACACUAACCCGGCCUAGCUGCAGGCGGAGCUGGAGUUGGAGCGACAAAAACUGCUGAAGGAAGCUGUUGACGUCGCUCACGCGCGGGAACAACUUGAUAUUUUGCUCCGUGAGUAUAACAAAGCACAUGGUCUUAGUUCUACUGCGUUUACUAACCCUAGCCGAGUUGGGGAGGUGCGUAACCGUGGCAAGAACUUGAACGCCGAGAUGACUAGAGAUGGCAGGGGUGUGCCGGCAGUGUUAGCAAGUUUGCCUCGGCUGCUGAGGCUGCAGCCGAAGAGUUGCCGAAUCUUACAGGAGAGGCACUCCGGUAGCAUCAGCUGCACGUGAAAGAGCUGCUCCGCACAGCUAAUGAGCAGAAUGAGGCAUACAUGAGAAUGCACGGCAAGCCCGGUGCAUCUCAGGUUAUUCACUCGGCAGCAGAUGCUGGAGGCCGAGUUGACAAGCAAGUCUCUUCGCCUGGUGGCAAGCGAGACAAAAGUGUCAAUUCUGGCCGGGAUAAGCAGCUGGAGCGUUAUGACCCGGCCCUGGCCGAGAAACAGAUGAUCAGAAGGGUUGAUGACAGCUAGAGUGGCCUACGUCCCGGCGACAAUCGCCGAGACCAGCAAGAACGUUCCUCGUUUGAUCAUGGACACCGACCUCAGGGUCCGGCACCCAAUACUGCUGCAGGUCAGCAGGGUGUCGGGCGCAACCCCCCGUAUCGAGGUGAAGAUCGUCGGUAUGACCGUUACGAUGAUGGAUACUCGGCCAUGGGUGACGAGGGUUAAUAUCAGGCGAGAGCGUGAUAAUCUCGGCCCGCUCGGAGCCCGAGUUGGGAACAGGCAAGUGUUGCCCCUGGAUGCCCGACAUCGGCUUGACAUAAUUUAUCUGUCUGAGCUUCUGGAGGAGCAAGGCCCUCCAGGACCGCGUUGUUUUGCGCAUCGGAUCAUGAGGGAGAGACUAGCCUCGGGUUUCCAGCUGCCCAGGGUUACGAGAACAUAUGACGGCAGUACUAAGCCGGAAGAUUGGCUGGAAGACUAUGUCACUGCAGUAAGCGUGGCAGGCGGCAACCGCAGAUGGGCGGUACGUUAUGUACACCAGAUGCUGGUAGGGCCGGCAAGGAUAUGGCUGAGCAAUUUGCCGGAAGGCAGCAUCAAUUGCUGGAUAGACUUUGAAGAAGCUUUUGUCAGCAAUUUCACUAGCACUUACAAGAGGCCAAAUCGCCCUCAGCAGUUGUCCAUGUGCAAGCAAAGAGACAACGAGACUGACCGGGAUUACCUGACAAGAUGGAACAAUCUACGCAAUUCCUGUGAAGGGAUAGUGGAAUCGCAAGCCAUAGUGUGGUUUGCCCAAGGAUGCCGGCACGGCAGCAUGUUACGGCAAAAGCUGCAAAAAGAAAUGCCGGCUACCCUAUCUGAGAUGAUCCGGAUCGCCGACAUGUAUGCGCUUGGCGAUCCGACUUAGCCAUCGUUGAUGCCGGCAGAACCGCAAAGGGAGCAGCCAACAUACAAUCCUGCCGGGGUAUUCCGGAGGAAUGAUCAUCAAGAUCACCGCAACAAGAGAAGGGAUGACAGGGCGGAUUACCGAUAUGGGCCAGCCCAUGUCACCGCUAUUCAGGAUCAACCUGAUGCCGGUUCCAGCCAACGUCAGAAAACAGGAAAUCAGCAGUGGGUCAAGAAGGGAGAACAAGAUAUCCCGGGAUAUGCCGGAAGAAAUGAGUACAAGGAGUGUCACCAAAACUACAUGAUCUUCAUCACUGAGCCGACUGACAAGCAAAGUCAGCACAGGCGAGAGAUGGAGGUCAAUGCUGUAAUGCCGGUUGUUCCGAAGUUCAUGUACUGGUCGGAGCAAGAGAUCAACUGGAGCCGAGCAGACCAUCCCAAGGUUAUGCCCAACCCCGGUGGAUACGCUUUGGUGGUUGACCCGACACUCAUCGGGCCCGACAUUAACGUCAAGUUCACUCGGGUUCUCAUUGAUAAUGGGAGCAGCAUAAAUAUCUUGUACCGGGACACGAUAAUUAAACUCGGCAUUACUGAUAACAUGCUUGAGCCUAGCCGUACUACCUUUCACGGUAUUGUGCCGGGAGUGUCUUCUGCCCCGGUAGGCAAGAUCCGAGUCGACGUCCUAUUCGGCACCAGGGAGAACUGUCGGACCGAGAACCUAGUGUUCGAGGUGGUGGACCUUAGCAGUCCGUACACGCGCUGCUUGGAAGACCGGCACUCGCCAAGUUCAUGGCGACUACUCACAUUGGCUAUCUGAAGAUGAAGAUGCCGGGAUCAAAUGGUACCAAAACCAUCACUGGCAACUACAAACACUCAAUGGAGUGCGCAGCGGCUGGAUCUGCUUUGGCCGAGUCACUGGUCAUCGCUGGCGAGAAGAAGAAGUUACAAGAAGCUGUUGCAAUGGCUCAGGUGGCACAAAUUGGCCUGCCGGCUAUGACCAAUCCCCAUGGAAGUGUGGUUGUUCAGGCAGCCAAGGAGACAAAGAAGGUACAGGUUGACAGCGAGUUCUCGGACCGCACCGUCAUCAUUGGUGCCGACCUGGGUGAAAAAUAGGAAGGCGAGCUCACCAGCUUCCUCCGUGAGACUGGGGACAUCUUCGCAUGUUCAAAUUAAGACCUGCCGGGUGUGCCGAGGGAGUUGGCUGAGCACUCAUUACAUGUCAGACCAGAUGCAAGACAGGUGAAGCAGCCCCUUCGAUGCUUCGCCGAAGACAGAAGGAAAGUCAUAUCGGAAGAGAAAUCCCGUCUUCUAGCUGCCGGCUUUAUCACGGAUGUGUUGCAUCCUCACUGGCUAGCAAACCCGGUCAUGGUUGAGAAGAAGAAAGACGACCCAACUUCUGCCAAGGUGUGGCGCAUGUGUAUCGACUACACCAGCCUGAACAAGGCGUGUCCCAAAGAUCCUUUUCCGUUACCUCGGAUUGAUCAAGUGAUCGAUUCUAUAGCCGAGUGUGAGUUGCUGUCUUUUGUAGAUGCGUACUUUGGUUUUCACUAGACACUGUUGAACCCUAAUGAUCAAAUAAAGACAUCAUUUAUCACCCCGUUCGGGUCUUAUUGUUAUCGCACUAUGCCGUUUGGUUUGAGAAAUGCGGGGGCUUCUUAUCAAAGAUGCAUGCAGAACUGCUUGCACGACCAACUCAACAAAAAUGUGCAGGUAUAUGUCGACGAUGUCGUCAUAAAAACCAAGGAAAGCGCCACGCUUCUGGAUGAUAUCCGGGAAACAUUCGCAAAUCUGAGGAGAUUCCGGAUGAAGCUGAACCCGGCCAAAUGCACAUUCGGUGUGCCGGCAGGGAAGUUGCUUGGAUUCAUGGUAUCAAGCCGAGGUAUCGAAACAAAUCACGUGAAAAUUGCCACCAUAGAAAGAAUGAAACUGCCGAAAUGACUCAAAAAUGUACAAAAAUUCACUGGAUGCUUAGCAUCACUAAGUCGCUUCGUUAGUCGACUGGGUGAAAAGGCAAUGCCCUUAUACCAGCUGAUGAAGAAACCGUCAAAUUUAUGUGGACGCAACAGCCAGACGUGGCUUUUCAAGAGCCUGAAGAAGAUGAUUUCUACGGCACCAAUAUUAGCCUCGCCAAUGGAGAAGGAGCCAAUGCUGUUAUACAUAGCAACAACGAACCAAGUCGUUAGUGCCAUCAUCAUGGUGGAAAGAGAUGAAGAUGACAAAUCCGUGCAAAGGCCGGUAUAUUACUUGAGCGAGGUGCUAUCGUCGUCUAAGCAAAAUUACCCCCAUUACCAGAAAAUGGCGUAUGACGUGUAUAUGGCGGCAAAGAAACUGAAGCAUUACUUUGAGGCACAUCGGAUCCGAGUUAUAUGCAAGGCGCCCGUCUCGGAAAUCAUGAGUAAUAAAGACGCGAGCGGCUGGGUCACAAAGUGGGCUGUCGAGUUAGCACCCUAUGCACUGCAGUACGACAGACGGGAUGCCGUGAAAUCUUAGGCUCUAGCGGAUUUCUUGGUGGAUUGGGCCGAGAUGGUAGUCCGGCAAGCUUCCGGCAAUUGGGAUGCAUUGGAUGCCAAUAUGGCGCAAUACAUUUUCCAUGUUCAAAGAUCAGUGGCCACUUCGAAGGGCAUAUACCGCGGGCGGAGAACGAAGCAGCCGACACAUGGUCAAAACUCGGCUCAACACGACAGGCCAUUCCAGCUGGUGUGGCAUUGGAACAUUUACGCUAACCAUCCAUCAAGCCAUCGCCAAAGUCGGAGUCAAUCUUUAUCGCAGCGAGCUCUGAAGCUGACGUCACCCCCAUGAACAUUGACAGUGGCAGCGGUUCUGGUAACCCGGAGACUGAGCGCCUUAACUCGGCAGAAGCAAUGGCGGUUGAGCCAAUGGAGAUAGACGUACCGAAUGAGCCGAUUUUACCACUCGUCCCGUGCUGGCUUGGGCACAACCGAUAAUGUCCUACCUAAAAGAUAGGAGUCUCCCGGAAGAGGAGGUGUCGGCAAGGCAAAUUCAGAGAAGGGCGAAGGCGUACACCAUCAUCAAUGGCGAGUUAUACAAGAGGAGUGUCACUAAUGUACUACAACGAUGCGUUGAGCCGAAAGAAGGGCAAGAGAUACUCCAGGAUAUUCAUCAGGGAGUGUGUGGACAUCAUGCAUCUUCAAGAACGCUAGUGGGCAAGGCAUUCCGGCAUGGUUUCUACUGGCCAAAUGCACUACAGGAAGCAGAAGACAUAGCCAGGAAGUGCAACGGCUGCCAGAGGUAUGCCAGCAAAAUUCAUAUGCCGGCAUCCGAACUCAAGACUAUUCCAAUCACUUGGCCGUUUGCGGUUUGGUGUUUGGAUAUGGUGGGACCUUUCAAGCGGGCGCGAGGAGGCAUGACGCAUAUCUUGGUCAUGGCCGACAAGUUCACCAAAUGGAUUGAGAUAAAGCCGAUCCGAAAGUGUGACGGCAAGACCGCGUUGUCAUUCCUGAAGGACAUCAUCUUGAGAUAUGGGUACCCGCACAGUGUUAUCACGCAUAAUGGAACGAACUUCGCGGAGGGACCUUUCGCGCGGUUUUGUGCGGAAAAGAAAAUCCGGCUGGAUAUCGCUUCUGUGGCACACCCUCAGUCCAACGGACAAGUUGAAAGGGCAAACGGUAUGGUUUUAGCCGGCAUAAAACCUCGGCUGAUUGAACCACUGGAACGUACUCCGGGAUGCUGGCUGGAUGAACUCCCAGCUGUGCUAUGGAGUCUCAGGACGACUCCCAAUCGCUCUACAGGCAAUAUGCCAUUCUUCCUCGUAUACGGGGCGGAAGCUGUCUUACCAGCCGACAUUGAACAUGACUCCCCGCAAGUGACCAUGUAUACCGAAGCCGAGGUAAAGGAGGCCCGAGAAAAUGAUGUUGACCUGCUCGAAGAAGCACGGGAGUUAGCUCUAUCUCGCUCGGCCAUCUAUCAAUAGUACCUAAGGCAUUAUCACAGCCGAAAGGUCAGUCCGCGAGUAUUCCGGGAAGGAGACCUCGUUCUCCGACUUGUGCAGCGCACAGCCGGCAUGCACAAACUGUCACCCCCAUGGAAAGGACCCUUCAUCGUGAGCAAAGCGCUUCACAAUGAUUCCUACUAUCUUAUAGAUGUGCAAGAUCCCAAGGCGAACAGGAUGGACCGAUCAGGCGAGGAGACCAAGAGGCCAUGGAACGUGGCUUUGCUUCGUCCGUUCUAUACUUGAGAGAUGAGUAUUUAUAUCGUUUUCUCCUUAUGUUGAAUGUUUUAAGACAAUGAAAUUGUUCUCCAGGUUCUCAAAAGGAACUUGGGGACUUCCAUGUUAUUUAAAUGAUGUGUUGCAAUUAUCUUUUGUAUUUCGGCAUGGCUUACUUGUGUAAUCUUAUGUCGCUUUAGUAGUGUGUCGGUCUCGAAAAUCCCCUCUAUGACUUCGCUGCUGUCCGCAACCCGGCUUCAUGGCAAGCUAGAGACGGUAUGAGAUAACCGAACACAUGAAAAGCGAUUGCGGAAACAAACAAAGAAGCGACCCGAAAUGUGCAUUGUCUUAACCCGGCAUUUCUUUUUUAACUCGGGUAUUGCUAACGAAUUCGUCGAACGCUGUCGUAGCACGGGGCUUUGCCACCGGGGAUGCACGGACACCCCCUUUUUGGUUCAGCAGUGGGCGACGGGGAUCGCUCCGGCGAUCGCCGGCGAGGCCAAUGCGAAGCGUGCCAACACACGAUGAACACGAGCGCGCGUUUUUACCCAAGUUCGAGCCAUCCGAAGGUGUAAAAUCCUAUGUCCUGCUUGUCUAAGCUAGUAUUGACAGGAGAACAAGUGUUUACAGGUUGCCGGGGGGAGCCCCCGGUUGCUCUCUUUUUGGCUAAGUGUCCUUUGAUACUUUGGGCUACUGCUAGCGUGGUACUACGAGUUGGUCCAGCGAACCCUUUGACCGUUGACGGGGGUCCUCCUUUUAUAGCCAAGGGGAUACCACAAGUGCCACGGUGCAUGGUCUACAAGUGGUGAGCAGGGAGCUCGGGCAGCUCCUCCUCAAUGUGCUGGCACAUGCAAGAGUAGUAGCCCUGUAACUAGGGGUCUAAAGGUCUAAAAACUACUCUUGAGCAGUCACUGUUUGCUUGACUUGAUGGGGAUUCCCCUUUCUGUCAGUUCAUUAAAUGCGCCGUGCGCCUCACUCCUUCUCCUGACGAACCCUGCACAUAGGGUGCCUGCCGUGCGCCCACGUGGCGUCGCUGUUCUGCUUGCUCAGUCCCGCUCUCGUAACGGAAACCUGCGCCCGGGAAUGCCCCUCCCGGCAAGUAGCUUCUCGGGAGGCUCCCAGGCGGGAAUUCUCCCCCGAAGCCCCACUAGUCCUGCCGGGCUGGUAGCUUGCCGGACAGCUUGUACACUAUUGCCCGGGGUGUGAUCCUCCUGGGGAGCAAGCGAGGCGACCCACGCGUCGUGCAGCGGUGGUACCCCGGGUGCCACUGGUGCGACAAACGCCGAUAAGGCAGACAAAAGAACCGGGGUCAUAAAAUUUCACUGAAAGGAAAAAUGUACUCGGGGAAUCGGUUGGGAAUUUGAUAAGCAAAAGACUUAUAUAAAUUAAAAAUAUGAUGUCUUACAAACAAAAGUAUGUUAACCCGGUUACAUAUGCACCUGGCAUUCCGGGGAUCUGAUAAUUUUCAAGUUCUUUUUGCUGACAUGACUAAGAAGAGAUGGAGGGAUUGUUGGCGCCAGAAUUCGGAGCAUCCGUGGCGUUGGACGCCGACUCGACGACAAUCUCUUCAUCGACUGCUUCUUCUUCGUCUUCGUCGGCCAUCUCGGCCUCUGCCUCGGAUGUCGGGCCCUCCACAAACUUAUGCACAUCGGCAUACUGAAUGAAGGAAUAGGCCCGCUCUUUGCCCUUGGCGAUCAACGCAGGAUCCGAGAGAUAGGGGGAUCCGACUCGCAUCGACUGCAGCAUUGAGGUGUCGUACCAAGAUAGUACGAACGACAACGCCUCGUCGGCGCCGACGCAUGCGGCUGACUCCCGCCAAUCAUUGAGGUGAUCCUCCACCUCGAGAAGCCACGUCGCCAGUUCCGGGAUGCCGGUCGGAGCCUCUUCUCUCUGCCAUAGAGCUCGGAAGGCCCGGAUGCCUGCGUUCAACAUAUUAACCCCGAACGACUUCAGAGGCUUUACCCGGCUAAAAAUGCUGACCAGAUAAUCCACUAAAUCAUAUUCGAAGGGGGUUGUUCCGGCUGGAUCCCUCUUCCUGCACACCUUGAUCAUGGCAGCUUGGGCGGUCUCGACUGAUUGUGGGAAUUUUUUUGACAAAAGCACAAAAAAUAGUAAUGAGUCUCGGCAUCCUGUUACUAUUACUCGGUGAUCAGAUGAAGAAAUUUGUGUCAGGGCAGCUUACUAGUCAGCAUAUUGUUGAUCUUGACGACCUCAUGCCGAACAACCUUAAGCAGCCGGGUCUUCUCAGUAUCCUCCUUCUCGGCGGCAGUGGCGCGGGUCUCGAUCUCGGCGACCAGACCCUUGCAUUUCUGCACCUCGCUCUCCAGGCAGAUCUUUUCAUCGGCCUGGGUAGAGAGGGCCGAGGUGAGUUGACCCACCUCAGUCUUAUGCGCCUCCGUCUGCGCCGUGACUUGUGCCUGCAGCCGGGCCACUUCCUUCCGAUGCUGCUCGGCUAGCCGAGUCUUCUCAUCUGUGUAGCAGACAUAUAUUACAGAAGCUAGAGUUUAAAGUGGAUGGAGCUUGAAUAAGGAUAGGAUGAUACCUUGGACUUUGGCGACGCGCUUCAGGAGCUCCGCCACUUGAGCAUUGUCCCCGGCUGUGAACAAGAGCACGUGUUAGGUUUCGCAACGCAUUGAUACUCGAACAAAGGUUUUAUGGCAGUAAAAUAUAUUUACUCUGGCUCUCGCGAUCGGCUUUCAAGGCCUCAUGCUCCGCCUCCAACUUCUUGUACUUUGCUAGCAAAGUCUUGAAGGUGGCGGUGCGCUUAUUUAUGCAGGACUGCAGAACGAUGAUUCACCGAUAAGUUUAUGCCAGUAAGAAGUCAACAACUAUUCGCUUCAGGCCGACUAUUCUAAACCCGGCCUGAAUCUCGGGGAAUAUGUGUUUUAAGUUUCUAAAGCUUCAGGCUGAUUAUUCUAAACCCGGCCUGAAUCUCGGGGAAUAAGGGUUUGAAGUUUCUAAACCUUCAGGCCAACUAUUCUAAACCCGGCCUGAAUUUCGGGGAAUAAGUGUUUGAAGUUUCUAAGUGUUGCAGACUGUUUGAAGUUUUAAGGGGAUAAGCUUCAGGCCGACUAAUUCUUACUCGCCCUAAACCUCGGGGACUAGGAGUAUGAAUACUAUACUGGAAUUAAAAGUAAAAUCUUUUAAGGAAUUCUUCGUGCCUCUGCAGAUCGGGUGGCCUCAAACAAGCCACCUUUGCUUGGUAUAUCCGGGCAGACACCGAUUCUGGAGUCGCUGCAGGUGGAGGUCCCACCAAGGGGCUUUGCCGCGCUGACUGGAGGGUGCUGGAGGUCAUCUCAUAGUUGUCGGCGCUGUUCCAGUCCAUUACGAACUGGCCCAGCGACCCCCAGCUGUGCCCGCUGGUCGUCCUGAGGGGAACUCCCUGGUGCCUCCGGGUAGGCUGCGGGUUGGAAGAAUCUGGAGGCGCUGAUCCCGCCGGGAUAGCAGAGCCCUUAGCCUUCUUGGCUUUUGCCACAGCAAGCUGAGUAGCUUCCGGCUGCGGUGGUGACGAUGGCGGCGUCAGAGUCGGCUGUGGUCCUUUGGGUUCUUGGGGCCCCGUUGCCGGUUGUUGUGGUGUCUCCGUGACCUGCGGCUCCAACGAAGUCUCAGCCGUUGCCGAGGAAGGAGCAGCACCGACUGCCGAGGUCCCGGCCGCGGGCAUCCCGGCUGGGACGUGUCGGAUCCGCAGCAGUCUUGGUCUCACCCCUGGCCUGGUUUGCAACCUCGGCGCGGGGAGAUGGAGCCGCCGGGAUCUCAGACACGAUACACGUCUGAGAUUGCGUGGCCGUCAUAGCCGCCCUGUAGAAGUAAAAGUUAGUCAUCUGCGUGACAAUAAAGAAGAAAACUGACAUCAAGGAUCGAGAUAGUGUUAGCCUUACCUGGCGAUCAGGGGUUUUGGCUUGGGUCCACGGCAAGCAGUCUUCUUCCGCUUAACAGUCUGCGGAAGAUCCUUCUCGGCGGCGCGCUUUGGGAUGGCGCGCCUCUCUCGGCCCGAUGCCUCAAUGGCAGCCGGACGCGACGUCUCCGCGGCAGCAGGCUCGUCCGAUUCGACUGUUCCCGGAACAGUGCAAGUGUAAGUAUCUUGAUGAGGAAUGUUCUAAGGAUUAUGAGAAGAUAACGGAGAUCCUUACAUUCGACGCGACGAGGGCCGGCAUGGGCUAUCGGCAUGUGGUUCUCUGAAUCCGGAUCCUCAUGAUCGAUGGUCCUGCGCGGGACCGCGAAGCGUUUGUCCAGGGAUUUCCCGUCUUCGUUGCUUUGACGGGCGAACCUCUGCACAAAAGAAUCAAGUGCCGCCGAGUUAUGUCUUAAUCAAAGUAAAGCCAGUAUAACCAUAUGUCGGAUGAGAAUAGAAGAUACAUAUAAACAAAAAACUUACCGGGGGCGCACGGUGCUUCUGGCUGUAUGCCGGCAUACCCCAGUUCCAGCGCUCCGGCAUGCUGGUCUUCGCAAUUGCUUUAACCCGGCGCCGGACUUCAACCUGGUCAAGCCGGACGGUCGACACCCGGUCCGGGUCGAACUGACGCCGUAGAAGCACAUUUUGUGUAACUGGCGCUGAAGUGGGCACAGCCACCGGUAUACAAAAGUCACCAAUAGAUCAUCGGUCGUCAUCCCCUCCUCCUUGAGCUCGAGGAUGCCGGCAUGGAUUUCGUUGAUCUCGGCGUUGGUCUCCUUCGGAUCGAACGUCCAGUUUUUCUUCUCCUCCGGCGGGCUGACUACAAAUUCCGGCAAGUUGAUCUUGUCAGCUUCGGAGGAGUUCUUGACGUAGAAGAAGGUCUUGAGCCAUUUUUUACAAGACUCAAGACCUUGAAUCCAGAGAAACACCAAACCCCGGCGAGGUAUGACAGUGGCGGCGCCGCACUGGGUCAUCGGCUUAGCGGCGCCAGGAUUUUCUUUGUCGGGAAGAACUUGGGGCCGGAACAUGAAGUACCUGGCCCACAAGUCUACGGAAGGCCAGAGGCCGAGAUAGGACUCACAGCAAGUGACGAAUACCGAGAGCGUGAGAAUGGCAUUCGCCAAAAGAUGGUGUGGCUGGAGGCCGAAAAAGUCUAAGAAAUUUCUAAGGAAAUCGCUGGCCGGGAGGGCAAAGCCGCGUUCAAAGUGAGCGAGAAACACUACAUGCUCACCAGGCUCCGGGGUCGGCACAGUCUCGUCGCGGGAAUCCGGCACUCCACGUCCUCCGGAAUCCGCCGAGAACGGCGGAGCCACGCAACGUCCGCCGGGGAGACGUCGGAGCUCUCCUAGCCGGCUCGCUCCAAGCCUGUCCUCUCUUCCAUCUGUUGAGCAGCAGAGUCGACGGCGGCGGGGUUUCGGGAAGAAGAACCCAUGGUUGGGAGCAGAUCUAGGGUUUGCUGUUUUCGGUGAGAGGAUGCUCGCGCGAGGCUCGGGCGAGCAAGGAAGUGCAGCAGAGACUCAAGCGAGCGCGAGAGAGCUUGCGGCUGCAAGUUCGGUGGCGGAGAGCUAAAGACCGCAGCGGCGGAGGACCUUCGGGCUGGCGGCAAUGGCGGAGUGCGCCGGGAGCAAAGAGGCAGAGGAAUGUGAGGAGGACGAGGAGUGUGAAGGGUUUUUACCCUCCCCCUCCCCCUUUACUUAUACGGGGACGUAUCAUGUGCAUCUAGAGGAUUUGUACAUCCGUGCAUCCGGCCAUACUCGACCAUCCGAUUAAAUCACAGGGACAACAGGGCAACCGAGACUAAUUUGCACUUGCACGCCCGCCUGGACAUGUUGACUCCUUGAAUAAACGCCCCCGUGCGAUCACUCCAAGCCAUCCAUGUUUGGGUAGACAGUGGAGGCUUCAUCCCAGAGACAAUAUGGUUAAAACGAGUAAAAUCUCAGAUGUUCAAGAACUCAUAUUUGAGACUGAGACCAUUCAUUAACCAGUCCUUCGCGGCGAGGCGAGUGCCUAUCGAUGCAUCAGGACGUACGAAGGACCAUAUCUCCUUCAUCGAAAUCUCUAGCCUGAAUAAGUGUUGAGAUCACAGGGCACCUAAUGCAACAUCGAUAACUUGUGGGGUGGGCAAUGGCUGGCCGAAGCCGAGGUACGGAAGUGCGUCCGCAUACCGGAUGUAUGUCGGCAUGACUAUCUUGUUUUAUGAAUUUGCAAGAUAAGGACGAGCCCCUUAAUCUCGGUCCGGGCCGAGAUCUUUCAACGGUUUUAUUCUGACCACGCGGCGCAAAGAAAAGCAGCGUCAUCAUUAUCACGGGAAAAGCAGUCGUCGUUUACGUAGCGGUGCCAGGCGACUGCACAAAAGAAGCACCGAAAGAGAAUAUCUGACAUGAGCCGGCAGAGGACAACAGUACUUGCUGCAGGAUGCCAGGGAAAGUAAAGUUGUCUUGUCUCCUGCGGUACCACCGGGAGGGAACCAAACCUCGUGCCUGGCGGGGCCCAAAAAAGGUGACGUUUGUACUCGGCCCACAUGUAAGUGUGACAUGGGCAGCCUAUAAAUAGAGCACUACCCCUCUGUGAAAAGAGAGGGCACUUAGUCGUUUAGCGUUUCCCCUUCUUUUCUUCUUCUUCUUCUUCCUCCUCCUCAAGAAUACAGCUCAAGGAGCACCGUUGUAAGAGUUGGUCUAUCUCGGCUAAUAAAAAAAACAGGAGUAGGAGUCUUUCUCGGCAAGAGGGUUCCGAACCUGAGUAAAUCGCGGUGUGCUUGUGUGUUUGUGCGUGUUUCCCUUCACGCCCUCUCUCCUCCGGUUGCUCUUUCGUCCAUCGGCCCCAAGUUAAGCCAUCCUAUGGCAUCUGUCGUGACACCACAAGCACCUGAAAACUGGGCCUAGUUAAUUUGAGUGAUGUCGUGUAUUGGAUAAAUAGUUCUAAAAGAGAGAAUUGGAGAAAUCAGUCGAAUUCAAAGCACCUUAUUAGAAACCAGUUGAAAACUGCGCUUUGUUAAUUAGCGACCUCCUCCAGACCAAGCCCCUGCAAGCUUUCUGUCCGCAUUGACAUUCCAUUCAGUUUUACCAUUUCUGGCCGUGCUUCCUUUCGACAAACAACAAAAAUUGCAACACUUCAAUAGUGCGAUCUGAAACUGGAAAGCCAAUUGUCAGAGAAUUUAUUAACUUUCCAUUCAUUUGUCAACUCGGCAUGAUCAAAAUAGCAGUUUCAAAGAACUUUUAGAUCCCUACUUUCUGGUCCGUUCAUCUGGCCCAUUAAGAUCCACAAUUUGGCCCAGUAUAUGCCUUUUGCGGUACUUUCUUGAGCUUUUUAAGGUAGGUUCAAAGUUUUUUUUAUUUAAAAAGCGGCUACGCAUCUUAGUGGCAGCAUUUUUCAGCCGAUAAGAAAGCUGCUGUGUUAAGCAAUUUACCGUUUCUCUAAAACAAGGAAUUUUUCAUGAAAAAUAGGCAUCAUAUAUUCAUAUCAUCUAAGAAAUGUGACAAGAAAUGAUGAUUGUGAAUAAAAGAAUUGCAUAAGUGCAUAUUACAUAACCAGGUCCAACUUUCAAAUUAAAGCCAGGAAUUUUUUAGGCCUAGCGGGAGAAAGUAACGCUAUUUUCCUCCCCAAUUUAGCGUUGUAGCACGAUUUAGCAAACUAUUAGCGGUACUAGUUUCUAUAAAAUGUUAAAAGUGCAUACUUUUAAUGGGAGUGGCCCGGAUCUACAGCUAUCCUAUAGCGCUGAGAUAGAUGAACAUGCUAUUUAAAAACUUUGGGUAGGCUUCCGCUAAACCUCCUCCGUUGAUCUAGAAUUUUUUUGACAAAAUGCCACACUUUUUUUGGAAUUUGCCACAAACGCACACGUUUUCCUGUCUUAGACAAGAUAAACACUUUUUUCUUUGGAACAUGGACAGAAUAGCAUUUUUUUACCCGCUUUUUCCAUCCGGACCCACAUGUCAGGACGAAAUUGCCCCUGCCCCUUCGCAUACUUGUGGUUUCAUGGAUUCCAAAAUAAGAGAAGAGGCAUCUUCAUUUUCAUGUCUUCCGUAGAGUUCAAUAUCCUAAAUAAAAGAGCUCAAUAUGUUCUCAAGUAAAAGUGAGUCCAUAUCUCACUACAAACAGACUAAGCACAAUACUCAUAAGUUCAAACAGAUUAAAUCACAAAAUAAGGAGAUCUCCAGAAACAGCGGAAUGCCAUAGCACAACGUGAGGCCAAAAUCCUCAUUGUCCAGUGCAUGCUGCAUAUUGCUCUGUUCUUCCUUUUUGGUGUAAUCUUCUUUGAAGCCGUCACAACAGGCCUAGGUGGAGAAAUAGGUGUUUCCGAAGCUCCGUCCAAUGCCAUUGCAACUUGCAAGAGCAAGUUGGCUGCGUAAUACACCAAUUUUAUCCAUAUAAAUAUAGCUAAUUGAAUAGAAGAAUUUGAAUAAAGCAUUAUUUUGUACCUCCUUGUGAUAGGACCAGGGAUGUCUUGUAUGACAGCCAGUGCAGAUAUGCCUCGAACAGGAGUUCCAAUAGCAACUUGGCUGCAUAAUCCAACAAUUAAUGUUUUGUAUGAAAAAUCUCGUGUAUCAAAAGAAAGCGAACAGAAUCAUCAAUCCUUUACCUCCUUGUGACAGGACCAGGACUGUUUUGUACAAUAGCCAAUGGAGUUGUGCCUCAAACAGGUGUUUUAAGAGCAACUUUACCGCAAAAUUUAACAAUGUUUUGGAUGCGACAAUGCAUCUCACUACCUCCUUGUGGCAGGACCGGGGCUUCUUUGUAUGAUAUCCAAUGAAGUUGUGUCUCGAGGGGGGCUGUUUUUUUAGGGAUCUAGGCUCUAGCUUUGUUUUGUUUUUUAAGGGGAAUCUGGGCUCUAGCUUUUUUUUCCUUUUGAGAGGAAGAUCAAGGCUCUAGCUGAUUUGGGCAGCAGCGCCCAUUGGAGAAGACCACGUUUAACAUGCAGCCCAUCGAUCUCCCUCUUUUGGUCCGAUACUAAAUCUCCCCACGGCCCACUGCAUUGCGCUCGCACGGGCCAACUUUAAAGUGCGUUGUUUCUUCAAACCACCGGCCCAGGAAUUAUACCAGACCCGGAAACUACAGAGCUUCUCAAAGACGACUCUGCCCCCACAUGGCUUCGCUUAUAAAAACCAGCCAGCCAUUCUACCCAGUCCCCACCAGCUCAAUUAGCUCAAGCCAUCAGCCAUGGCCAUGAACCGCGCCAUCGCCUGCGCGCUCCUCCUCGCCACUCUCUUCGCCUGCUCGUCGGCGACCACGCUGACCAUCCACAACCUGUGCCCGUACCCGGUGUGGCCGCUCAUCACCCCCAACACGGGCCUCCCCGCCAUCUCCGACAACGCCGCGCGCCUCGACACCAACGCGCUCCUCUCCGUCCGCUUCCCCUCCACCGCCUGGGCCGGCCGCGUCACCGCGCGCACCAGCUGCGACUCCGGCGGCGGCGGCGGCCCGCGUAACUGCGGCUCCGGCGCCGCGCCGCCCUCCACCGUGGCGCAGCUCCAGGUCCACCAAGGCGGGAGCGCGGACGCGGCCGGCUACAGCGUCUCCCUCGUCGACGGCUUCAACGUGCCCAUGGUGAUCAGCCCGCAGGGCGGCGGCUCCGGCCAGUGCCCGGCCCUGGGCUGCGCCGUCGACCUCAACUGCGACUGCGACCCCGACCAGCGCGCCGCCGAGGGAGCCGCGUGCCGUGGCCCCCCGGAGUACUUCAAGUCCCGGUGCAAGCUGACGAGGACGACUCCCACCGACGUUGAGCCCGUGCCGCAGAGCUGCCGCGCGCCAGGGGAGCUCAAGAUCGUCCUCUGCCAGACGUCCAUGCUAGCAGCCCACGGCGCCGCCGCCGACACGCUCGUCGGCACCGUCGUGGAAGCCGACAGCUAGACCUCUGUUCCUCUCUGUUCUGCUCGCUUCAUUCGCUGUACUGCAGUGCACCGUGGCUGUUUGUGUUUAGACUUUUGAGCUCUGGCUUCGUCGGUCUGUACUCUCGGUGUACGCCCUAAGCAUAUGGGUUAAGACAAAUAAUUGAACAGUGAGUUACUCACUUAAUUUGGAACAUCUCUUGAAACGAAAUCUUGAAAUGCUGCAUCUUAAUUGAUUGCAGGUAUGUCAUGCUCACGAUGCAGAGAGAUCUGACAGACUGUUGUCCAAAAACACUUACUGAACUAAUUGCAAUUUCAGCAACAUAAUUUGACCCCAGCUUUGCAUAGAAAUUAUGUUCGAUCGCGUACUCUUCGGAAAAUCAGAAGGGGAGCAAAAGCUAGAGUCAAUAUUGAGUCCAUGGUUCGUAAAAAAAAAAUACUAUUGAGUCCAUGAACCAGGUACAGAGAUGGGCAUUAUGACUUUAUCAAGCUUUUGGCAUGCGUAGAUGCUUUGCUUCGUUGCAUAGAAAAAUUAAAGUGCUUAGCUAAAGCCAAAGUUAGAUCCCAAGCCAAAGUGGUUAACUAAAGCCAAAGCUGCAUGGUUAUAUGCGCUUUCCAUCAACUACAAUCUGAAUUGUUUGUUUCAUAUGCCAAAAGUGAGAUGUCAGAGCCUAAAGUGGCACGUCGGGCUGAAACUGGGCCUUAGUUAAUUUGAAUGGUCUCGCGUAUUGGAUAAAUUGUUCUAAAAAAGUGAAUCGGAGAAAUAAGUCGAAUUUAAGGCACCUCAUUAGAAAUCAGAUUAGUAUUGGGCUUGGUUAAUGAGCGACAUCCCCGUUGACAGAUCCAGCCCUGCAAGCCUUUUGUCCUCAUUGCAAUUCCAUUAGAUGAGCGUUUUUCCGAUACCCUUAAAUUAAUUUGGUGCGUCCAUUGACUGAAAUCUAACGGGUACGGUUUAUUUGUACUCCAGCACAUGAUUAGGGAGUACCACUUUAGAAAAUUGAGGAGUAUCAAGUUUGGAGGGGUAUAAUUGUAAUCAUGGGUAAUUAGUUAGGCAAUUACGUAUAUGCAAUACGUGGAUCAAAUCUUCCUUUUUCGGGUAAAUACGUGGAUCAAUACAGCCAUUGGUAUCCAACAUCAAGACAUGCCCAGCUUGUUUAAACCUAAAGCGCCGGGAAUUGAGAAUUUCUCCGUUUCAGUUUUGCUCUUUCCGGUUUGCGCUCAUUCUUCCCAUCAUCAAACGUUUAUCGGGUUGUAUGCGUGAUCCUUCCUCGACUGAAACUAUCUAGAUCAAUCCAUUCUGUCAAAAAAAAAUCGAGAUCGAUCCUUAUCAACGAGUUAAAGGAUGAUGCCAAUUAUCGAGUUAAAGGAAGCUGCCAAUUAUCUAGAUCGAUCCUGAUUAACAUGUGAUUAGAUCGAUCCUAAUAACAUAUGAUUAGACAGUUGCGUCGAAAUUGUCGUGUUCGCGGGCGGCUCCCUGAUGAUCAGGGUGAAGACGACCAUGGAUGCUAAAGCAAAGAUCUCAGCAAUCAUGGCGCGGCAGCGGCGCGCUGCACCGGGAGGAAAUCCCUCAACUAGGAAUUGCAUGGGAGAGAUGGCAGCUGCGGAUGCAUCAACUGCGAUCAAGCGACAAGAAUCAUGCCUAAUCAAUUCGGAGUAAUUAAAUUCUGGAAUGUAUAGAUUAAAUUAGAUUCUUCAAAUAUUUACUAUCCUUUUCCCCACAACAAUCGGCCAGAGGGGGAUGAGAGAUGACCGUAGUCUAAAUUAGCAAGUGCAUUAUCUAAACAAAAAAACUAAAUUACCCUUUUAAAUGGAUGGCUAGAUUUGUCUGGUACUCCAACCAUCCUUAUGGAGUACCUAGGGUACUGUAAAAAUCCUCUCAGUUUUUCCAUUGCUGGCCAUUCCUGCUUUCGAUAAACUACAUAAGUUGCAACAGAACUGCAAUCUGAAACUGGAAAGCCUAUUGUCGGAGAAUUUUUUACCUUCCCAUUAAUUUGCCAACUGAAACAAGAGACAGUUGCAGAAAUCUCAUCACUGAUAUGGUGGCUGGCAGUUUCCUUUUCUCAUCAAAAUAGCAAGAGUAAAGAACACGGCAUGAUCAAAUCUAGCAAGCUACGUAACCAAUAGCAGUUUUCAAAAUAAAUAUGCCACCUUAUCCUUGCUACGGACAGAAUCAAUUUCUAACACCAACCACAUCACAUCAUAGGAAAGAGAGCAAUGAUGUACCACAGACGAAGGAUUGAACUUUCAUUUUUGCUAGUUGAUGCCUGAAAUACAUUUUCAUAUGCAUUUUCCUACAAUCAACCUUCUCGUGCUACAAAAAAGCAAGCAAAAGCUAGUGUGCCAUUUGGUUCAUGAGUUAUGACUGAUUUUGACUCUUUGCACAAUAGACUGCUCCCUCGGAUCCAUAAUAAUUGUCUCAGAUUUUGUAUUUAGUACAAAGUUGUACUAAAUUUGAGACACUUAUUAUGGAUGAGAGGGAAUACAAGAUAAAGAAUGACAAGUGGAUAAGGAUCACACCAUUAACUGUUAAGAGGAUAGAUAAUCUGAAAUAUGUCUUUGCAGGAUAGAUUUUACAUAUGCAUGGCUACAUGAUCUUAUGUAAGUGUGGCAUGUUUUCAUCUGAUGCGACAGUGCUCCACCUCCAACAUGAAUUUCUGGUAGAAAAAAACACAUAAAUUGUUAAUUAAGAUGACAACAUAGAACAAAGAAAAGACGUUGUUGGAGAGACGUGUUUGAGUCGCUGGAAUUUAUUCAGACUAAAAGGCAACACAUGGCAAUGACAUUAUAGACAGAACAACAACGCCAGCCUAAAACACCAAUUAAUGCUUUAUUUAUGUUUGUUUGGUGAUUUCUUCAGCCCUUUUUGGCAUCUUUUACCAACAAUCGAGCCCAAGUUCAUUGCAUCCUCUGUAAAAUCAAGACAAUAACUUCAUAAUUAGAUAUCCCUUAGUUACAUGAAUGUAAAGAAACAUCUAUAGGAAGUGUCUGCGUGCCUUCAGAGACAAAAUUAUUAUGCUAUCAAUCCCUCAAGUUCAUUACUGACAAAACAUAGUACUAUAUAUGAACAGUAGCUAAUUUAAGUUGGACUUUGAGUUGUACCCGCUAACACCAAGACAUCCGACUUUUGUUGUUUUCAGAUGUUCUAGUUCAGAUUCGUUUUGAAAUUUCACGACAAGAUUUUUUUGAUAUGUAUUGUAUCCAUGUUGUACAGAAGUCUUAGGUUUUCUUACAAGUUUUGUUAUGUGUUUCUUAAGCUUGGGCACACCUGGCCACAAAGCUUGGGGGCACAUGAUGAUAUCUCUUGCGAGUGACGACGGCUAGUAGGAGUGAUGAUAUCUCUUGGGGGCACAUGAUGCUAUCUCUUACUGGGCUGGGCUGUGCACUUGUACGUGGUGGCCCAGGUGCUACCACGACUUGACUCUAUUUCUUCUUCUUUUUCGCACGACUAUACUAGAGACUAUUCUCAAAAAAAAAGAGACUAUACUAGAGACUAGAACCAACGUGCUAUCUGCUAUGUGUCGAGCCAGGAGCCAUCCUUUUAUGCUGUUUUUACAGCCGUACACUCUAGGAGUACUACAGUAAAGAUCUGGCGCGUCAGGUGUUGCCACGGCUUUUUCAUAUCUCACUGCCGACAUGGUCGCCAAUCAGUACGCGAGAUUUCCUGCUUUAUGCAAGGAGGACAUAUGUCGACGGUCUGAGGUGACUGGGCUUAAAUUUUUGAAUGCUCUCGAACGUCGCGGCUUAAUUUUUGAAUGUCACUUCCGACAUGUCGACAGUGUGUCACCAACUGCGCAUCGAGAAAGUAACUAUAUUCGUUUACGCCUAAUCAAGUGCCACUGAUACGUGCAUACUGCAUCGGAAUGUCACAUCUAUUGUGCAGACGACUCGUUAUCGGCAUCAGCACGAUAUCCAAAGCUAUUGCUUUAUUUUCUUUCAAAAAGUUUUUGCUUUAUUAUUAAGAGCAUGUCCAGGAAAUUAUCCAUGCCGGCUAUAUUUUUUAGCUUGAUGGCAAAAAAAUUACUCCCUCUAUCCCAUAGUAUUAAGUGACGAGAUAUUGCAUGUGUUAAAUUUUUUUGGACGUAGAUACAUCACUUAAUAGAGCCAAAAAAUGUUGUUAGCUUGGGCCAAACAUGAUCUCAAUGCUGAUUCUAAGGAGUUAAUUAGAAACAAACAAAUCGAUCUGUCGCGGCAGGCUGUAUUUAUUUAUUCAAAAUCUAUCGAUGAGUUUGCCUGUGACUGAAGGUGUUAUCGCUCUGUCUCCUCUUUUUUCACCAGUCGAUCUGGCUCCUGUUAGCAAGGAAUUUGCUGGAGAUGUUUCUACUGUCUGUCUGCUAGUUAAACGGUAAAAUGUCGAAUGUCCUGCUAAACAUGGAUGCAGUAGAGAAAACCAGCAACGUUUAGUUCUUGAAAUGUUGUUGUUUUUCAGACACAAAAUGUUUUUUUGCUUCUUCUUGUAAAAUUACACAUGUACUUGAGCGCCAACACGCAUGCCUUAUUAAUUUACGGCUUUUUUAGAUACACUUGCUUACUAUUUAUUCAGGGUGCAGGUGUGUGGACAUAAAAUAAAAGGAGGAAACGAUGUUUUAGGAACCAGCAGACAUUCCCAGUCACUAAACAUAGGGGCAGGCUUUAAACUACUCAUGUUAUUGUUGAAAAACUUAACUCUAGCACUAGUCGGCAGGGAUUCGUGCUAGCCUGCGCCGAGGGCCGUGGUGGCACUAGGCCGUGUCGUUUCGUCCUUGACCGGCCGGUGGUAUCCAAUGCUUUGCAUGCCCCGGUGCCCCUGGCCCUGGCCCUGCCAUGAUCUUCGAGCUCAGCUGGGGCAGGGCAGGCUCAGGCAGUCAGGCUAGAUGCUCGGUCGGUCGGUCAGUGAUGUAGCUCAGAUCUCCAUGCUCAUCUAGAGAGUACCCGCAGAGCUGGUACCAAAGGAACAGUUUUCCUUUUGUUUACGCCGUUGCUGCGUACUUCCGUAUGUAUAAAAAAAAACAUUCCUUCCAUCCUAGACUUUUAUACAAAUUUAUUUUGGGAUGGAGUGAGCAUAAAAUUUGCGACAAGGACUGAGGGAGUACAAAAUUUGCGCUGACUUAACUUAGUACAAAAUGGACGGAAGGAGUAAUGUGGAACGGAUGACAAAUUUUUUGUAGAGAUGUCUGUAGCCUGCCGGAGGUACGCCUAGUUGAUUUUGAAGUGUUGAGUUCUGAAUUGUUUUAAAUAAAUUGAAGUGUAGAUGAAUCCUUACAAAAUCUCGUUUUGAUUUCGUCCAUGUAAAUGUGUAAUUACCACGUGUACAUGGAGAAGGGGAGACAGGAGAAGGGUACUGCAUGCCACGACUGUGGACUGUACACGAACCAUGCAUGCAUGCGUGCAGGAACAUGUGCACCCCCAUGAAUGCUCACAUUUGAAUGCUGAACGACCCCGCACCAAUGGAAAGUCAGGAACACACGUACACGGGGGACCCAUCCAUAGCACUAAAAAAUUGCACAGUACUAUAGUGAUAUUGUCUGAUUCGUGUGAAUCUCAAAGCAACGGUAGAUAUUUCAUCAGUUGGUCCCGGACCAGCAAUAAAAACGCUUCAAAUACUACACACACACGCAUGUUGCAACUUCACUCUUCACCUUGGAGUAAAAAAGAAAAAUCAACACUUUCGGAACGAAAAGAGCAACAUGUCGACGGUACGAGAGCUUGAUUGAAGCGGACGUACGCGGCUUACACUUUUGAAGCUGCGUACUCGUUCCAAACAAAAACAAAAAAAAGCAAGCCCGGGCUAACCCUUGGCUGGGCCUAUAAAUAGGCCCAAACCGCAAGCCCCUAAACCUCACCCAAUCUCAGUCAGUCUCCUCAUCUCUCUCACACACACACAUUUUCACCACCUCACUUGCCAGAGCAUCAACAAUGGCGUCCAUCUCGAAGCCCGUCCUGAUGCUGCUGCUCAUAGUCACAGCAGCGGCGGCCAUGGGCGGCGCGGCGGCGCAGGGCAGCCAGGCGACCUGCAACGGGCACAAGGUGACAGUGCAGAACCUGUGCGGGCACGACCUGAAGAUGGACGAGCUGACGCCGGUGGCGGACAGCAAGGUGCUGUUCCCGGCCGGGUGGGUGCUGCCAAACAACCAGCACGCCGAGUUCGCCGUGUGCGCCUGGACGGGCCGGCUGCGGGCCCCGGGCGCCGUGGAGGUGGACCUCCACCUGGGCCACGAAGGCGGGGCCUACUACUCCGUCAGCACGGCCCAGAACGGGAUGCCCGUCCGCGUCUCCGUCACCCCGCACGGCUCCCCGCUCCAGGGCCACUGCCCCACCGCCGGCUGCAACUCCGGCGGCCACUGCUUCGAGUACUCCGUCCCCGGGAACAAGUGCAGCGGCGUCACCGAGAUGAAGGUCGUCUACUACAGCCCCUAAGGCGUUCGAUCGGGCUUGUUUAAUUAGUGGAGUAAUCAAUAAGUUUGCAGCUCAAUCGUUCGUAUUAGUACUAGUUCAGAGUGAUUUGGAGCUGCAUGUGCCACUUGUUAUUGUACCGUCAGUGUCGUGUCGGAUUAAGCUAAAAAAAGUGUCAUGUCGGAUUAUUUGAAGUUCAACUGGCUUGUACGUACUGCUUACUACUUGUACGUACUACCGGAGAUGCAUGGGCUUAAUUAGUAGCCGUUGUGUGGAUGUCGUCACUCGUCAGCGUGGCCAACAAGUACUCAUCGAGAAAAUAAUUACUACGCGUUUACGCCUAAUCAAGUGCUACUAAUUCUAUCGGAGCUCCUGUUAGCACCAAGAAACAAUCUCCUGGAGAUGUUUUUAACUGUCUUAAAAUGUAAAAUGUUGUAUCAGAAACAUCAAAGCCACAAAAUGUCCUGCUAUUUAAACCUGAAUGUAGUACAAACUUAUGGCCUUUAUAAAAAAUAACAAAGUUUUAGUGCUUCAAAUGUUGUAUUCUAGGAGCACCAAAUAUUUUUAGUUUCCGUAUUAUAGAAAAAAUUCCUUCCUUUUCUUGUAAAUUUACACAUGGACUUGAGCUCCAACAUACAUAUGAUUAAUUUUUUUUUACGGGUUACUUUAAGAAUAUAUUUUACUGCUCUUUAUUCAGCAUGCAGACGUCGGCACAAAAAAGUAAAUGGAAAUGACGUUUUAGGAACCAGCAGAUAUUAUCCUCAGUCGACAAAUAUAGGGUAGGCUUAAACUAUACUCAUCAUACUAAUGUUGAAAAACUUAACUUGUCCGCAGAGUUUCGUGCUAGCCUGCCCGGCGGGCCGCGGUGCACUAGGCCGUGUCGUCUAGUCCUGCUCCGGCCGGUGGUAUCCUAUGCGAGCCCCGGUCUAUGAUCUUCGAGCUCAGCUGGGGCAGGGAAGGCCAGAGAAAAUUGCACAAACUACUCGUCGUUGUGAAUUUUGUUACGCAAAACUACCCGGUCUAUGGUUUAUGGCAAGGCCGAGAUGCCAUGUUGGCACUGAUUUGUGAGUUCCAUCUGUCAGAAACGUCGUUAACAUGAUAAAACUCAAAUUAACACUUAUGUACAACAGAUUAAGCGAAUAGCAGGCGUAUUACGCAAAAGAUAUGAAUAGUGCGUGUUUUUGGCGCAACAAGCCUCACGACGACGGUGGUUUGUGCGAUUUCGUCGGGAAGGCUCAGGCUAGAUGCUCGGCCGGUCAGUGCUGUAGCUCCGAUCUCCAUGCUCAUCUACAGAGUACGGCACCACUACUGCUCCUUCGUACGCGCAGGCCUGCUAACCAAGGAAAAAGAAAACGAUUUCCUUUUGUUUGCAUGCACAGCCGUUGCUGCCUACGAGAGUCCCUACCUAAUGUGCUUAAUUUGUUGUACCGAUGUCUGAAGCCUGCCCAGGAGAGAGGCCUAGAUGAUUUUGAAGUCUGGCUGAAGCUUUGAAAAUCUCGUUUUGAUUCCUGCCGUGUAAAUGUGCGUUACCACAUGUAUAUGGGAGAAGGGGAACAGCCAAACAGGCGUCGUGCAAUAAUUUCAAGAGGUAAACGUCCUUGCGUGCGACCCAUGCAUGCUCACAUUUGAAUCUAGACACACGUCGCAACUUCACUUUUCACUUUGCAGGUAAAAAGAUGCACACACACAUGCGCACUCUGGAAGUAUGCAUGGCACGGUGUGUACAGGGAUGCGUAAAAUGCAGCAUGCAGGCCACUACCGUUCACUGGACCACAAUGCACAACAACAAGCCACUCAAUUGGGCAGAGGGCUGGCCACCCACUCGAUCCAUGUGCCCGUAUGGCAACAGUAAUUAACAUGUCGCGUACAGUAGAAUAAUAAAAAGUGAGAGCAUAGUAUUCCCUCCGAACCUGGAGAGUCACGAACGCAUUUCAAAAUCAUCAAUUUAAAAACAUAUGAUUAAAAUAUUUAUUCGAUUACAAAUCAAAUGAUAUUUUUUUACGAAACAUAAUUUAUAUUUUGCUAAAUUUAUAAUUUAUAUCGAGACAGAGGGAGUAGUACGGACACGCGUUCCACAAGCUAGACCAACCAUAGGCUACACUACAACAAUCUUGAAGCUUCGUGUUAAGCCCUUGGGUGCGCCUAUAAAUAACCCCAAACCAUAGUCCCCUAAACCCCAUCCCAAUCCAGUCUUCUCAUCCCCUCUCUCUCACUCACACAAAGUCACUCACUCACUAGACAGUAGACACCAGCAAUGGCGUUCUCCAAGCCCCUUCUCCUGCUGCUGCUGAUAGCGGCGGCGGCCAUGAGCGCGGCGGCGCAGGGCGGCAGCCAGGCGACCUGCAACGGGCACAAGGUGACAGUGCAGAAUCUCUGCGGGCAGGAGCUGAGGAUGGAGUCGAUCCAGCCGGUGGCGGACAGCAAGGUGCUGUUCAACCCCGGUUGGGUUCUCCCCAACAACC
Molecule: long non-coding RNA, 43717 nt
Filed under: Brachypodium distachyon (stiff brome)
Lineage: Eukaryota; Viridiplantae; Streptophyta; Magnoliopsida; Poales; Poaceae
Description: long non-coding RNA (BDIS_LNC004171)
Source: RNAcentral